UUUAUUUCCAGUGUGCCUUUUUCCACUCUGUGUUGCCUUAGGUGUAGCUUGACAUCCUUCUCUCUGUGUUCUUCAGCCUAUUGUUACUCUAGACAACGCAUCUCUGGAAGACCCGUCUCCAUGGCCAAAUGCUUACAGAGCUAUCUUGGCCUUUUACAGGAUAUGCAGGAAACUGAGAAGGUUUAGAAGGAUCAGUGGGGUAAAUAGAUGAGUUUGGGCAGCACCAGCUGCUGACAGGAUGAUUUUGAAGAGCUUCCUUAGGAAACCUUUCUUUAGAAACAAAUAAAACGGACUUCCUGGUACAUCUGCAAACAUCCCAGCAGCUGGCCAUUGUCACACUGGAGUCUUCGAACAAGCAGCUGGGUUUCCUCUUUGGAAUCUGCCAGUUCCUCCCUGUGACUCUUCUGACCACUGCUCUCUGUCCCUUGUCUGCUGAUAGAGGUGAUGGCUCGUUUGCCAGCUGUCAUCUGAGGACAGAAAAAGCAGGGUCUUCCUCCCCUUUGCUCCAGAGGAAUAACUGCCGCAUAUGUUCAUUCUCCAGUCUUACUUAAUUCUAGUCAGCAGUUUGCUUUUGUAUCAUUUGUCUCCAUUCCUCUGGCACUCCACUUGUAAUUAGAGAAUCUUUGUAGUAUUCUAAAGACAAAGAUUCUGGAGAAAUUUUAUGCAUAGGUGUCAAGAAGUCUGUUUCUCCUUGCCGGAGGCAGGGACAGUUGUGACCUCGUGGGUGGCUGGGUGGAGAAAUACGUCUGUUCUUGCAAAUGAGGAGUGCCGCUGGUGAGCACUUUUGCUGUUGUGUCAAAAUACGAAUGAACGUCCGGCUGGCUUUGCAGAGAGAUGGAAGAAAGAGAAGAGAGAUCUGAACCUCCCAUCAACUAGUUUAUUGAGAACAUCUUCGGUGAGGAACAAGACUUCUAAGGGCACUCAGCAGAGGGUCAAAAAAGCCGGACUCCAAGGAGAGCAGGCAUCGCGCGGAAGCAUUUCUGUUUAGGUCUCUAGGAAAAGAACUGAAAAAGACUGUGGAAAAGAAAGAAAAGGAGAAGUAUCUGUAAGUAGAGAAGAAUGAAUCAGUCCAUGUGUGUGGACUGCUGCUCUCCAACAAGCUUCCAAAGACGUCUCGGGAAGGCAUCUAGGGGAGCAGGCACUGCGCUUGCAGGACACGCUCUGCUCCGUGAGCUGGCAGUGCAUCACAGCUUGGAAACUUCACCAGCCGCAGAACUGGGGAAAGCUCAGUGAGUGCAGGUAAGGUCCACAAAAUGGACUGAGGCCAUUCUUUCCUCCUCCAAGGAAAAGAAGGAAAAAAGUACAAUACAGAGUAAGGAUUUGUAAGCAUCAUCCCAUGAGGAGCAGCGGUUGUGGGUAACCAAUAGGCAGCUGCACAGGCAGCUCUGCUCCCUUCCUGCCCUGUUCCUCACCCUUCUGCUUGUUAAUUUACCUGUUGGUGCAUUAAAGACUCAUCAUAGCUAUGAACUCCUGCAGAGCUCUCCUUAAUCACCAACUAAGAACACUGCACAAGACGCUGAUGCCUGUAGUUUGAAAAGCCAUUAUUGGGUCAGUAGUAAUACUAUUUCUGCAUUAGCUAACUCCUCCAACAAUGUCAUUUUAAUCACCUUAGUGUAUAAUGUGGACCCAAUUCUGGUCUACCAAGCACCGUACCUCCAACCUAACCCUCUCUUGGGAUACACAACUUGAGGCCUAUGACUAAUAGUUUGUUCUUCUGAUGUCUGUAAGCCCGAGUGCCUUUCUGAUCCAACCGCCUCAGUCAAAGACAGAAGACUUGCCUUGGCAGAGAGAGAGACGAGGUGAAAUGUAGAGGCCUGUGAUACACAGAAAAUCACAGCUGCUCUCCCUUGUCCAGCCUGGCUUUCCACUCCAUGGGUCUGUGUCCCCUGCCACCCAGCCCCAGCUGCUCCUUCCCAAAGCGUGAGGUAAUGAGAAGGGACUAACCGCAGCAACUCAUUAAGCCAGGUUUGUUGGAAGACAGAUUGUCAUGUUAAACAAAUAUAUUUUUAAAAUCUAAAUAUCAUUCCCUGGAUCGUACCCCAUCUGGGCCAUUAAAUCUGAAAGGGGUAAGUAACUACAGCUGCGUCAGAGCAGAGCUCAGAAGCUGAUUUUCACUAUUUGUACUACUAGCAAUUGGCAACAACUCCUUUUCCAAACAUCUUUUUCUUCUCAUUUUUCAGUGCUGCACUAUGUAGAUUGCCAGCACGGCAGGGGGAUGCACACUGCUAAACAGUCUUUGGGAUGUACAAAAAGCAACCCUGCAAAUGCAUUUCCUAAACCCAUCAUAUCCUCUUUAUUUUCACUAAGCUUUGUUACUUGAUGACAGAGGAUGGGAAGGGCUGCUCAUUGUUAGUCAACUGGUUUUUGGUAAAUUAUGCAAAUUUUAUCAAUCUAAUGAGAAGCUGGUGUGGAAACAAAGCGAGACAGCUCAGCUUUCAGGGCUCCAGCGCUGCAAGUUUCCAACUUGCAAGAAAACAAGCAUCUUCUUCAAGAAAGGGGAUAAACCCCCAAUUUUGAGUUAAUCCAGCAUUUCUUUUGAUGGGUCCCUUGGUAAUCUGAUUAAUUUUGAGUACAGAUGUUUAUGCUUUCCUUCACAGAAUACCCCCAGUAUUCUGGAGCAGGCUCAUCGUGCCGUAUUUCCUCCAUGCCACACCAUUCUUGUUAUGGUUGUGCAGCAACAUAUGCUAAGGCCUUAUUACAAGGGAUUCCUAUAAAUGGCAUACAGGAUUAAUAAUGUAUUUAUAACACAACUUUGUUUUAGUAUAAAGUGAUCUAUAAAUUUGUAAUAAAUGUUUUAUAAUGUUUUUGUAGCCUGUUAUAAAUGAUAAAUGGGAGACUAUAGAUGCCACAUCAAAUAUUCAUGCUGCAUUGUGUGCAUUAUUAUGCUGUUACUGUUCAGGAAACCAUUAAUAAUAAAGUGAAUGGAGAUGUAAAAGUUGCUGACAUGCCCAGCAAGCCAUUUAUAAUGAAACGUAUAAUCCUUACCAUAAAGUAAAUACAUUGGCCAGUGAUUGUUGAUGAAACGGAAACACACUGAAUUAUUUGUGAGGUAUUUAUAUAUUAAUGUAUAUUAUCCAUAUCAUGUCAUAGAAAUGCCAUUAAUAUAUUAUAUUAUAUGUAUUAUUAAUUAUUUUUACCUAAUUUAUAAGCAGGUCUUUAAGU
This is a long non-coding RNA of Cuculus canorus (common cuckoo), 3162 nucleotides long. RefSeq lists it as uncharacterized. Lineage: Eukaryota; Metazoa; Chordata; Aves; Cuculiformes; Cuculidae. The record is from RefSeq and is a predicted model, not a curated record. The transcript is spliced from 4 exons.